RNAcentral lists this ribosomal RNA (365 nucleotides) under uncultured bacterium. RNAcentral describes it as "bacterial SSU rRNA". It matches the Rfam family "Bacterial small subunit ribosomal RNA", at positions 27 to 400 of the family's 1533-position model. The record is from RNAcentral.
GGAUGAACGUUGGCGGCGUGCCUAACACAUGCAAGUCGAACGCUGGUAGCAAUAUCAGAGUGGCGCACGGGUGAGUAACACGUAGCUUACCUACCUCAAAGCGCGGGAUAACGUUCCGAAAGGAAUGCUAAUACCGCAUAAGCUCGCGGUCUGUAGAGGGCUGAGAGAAAAGGGGCAACUCACUUUGAGAUGGGGCUGCGGCCCAUCAGCUGGUUGGUGAGGAACGGCUUACCAAGGCAACGACGGGUAGGGGACCUGAGAGGGUCGACCCCCCANACUGGGACUGAGACACGGCCCAGACUCCUACGGGAGGCAGCAGUGAGGGAUAUUGCACAAUGGGCGCAAGCCUGAUGCAGCGACGCCGC